Molecule: long non-coding RNA, 1875 nt
Filed under: Equus caballus (horse)
Lineage: Eukaryota; Metazoa; Chordata; Mammalia; Perissodactyla; Equidae
Description: lncRNA (ENSECAG00000034757.3)
Source: RNAcentral
CUAAUGCAAGUAGCUGUAAGAGCAGUUGGAAGUCUGACAACGAGCAUUAAUUUUAAUGAAAUAAUUCCCUUUGGCACCCAGGUAACCAGAAACGGUCUAGGUCAGGUGCUAGGAAACACUGCAGAGGACGCCGUCAGCAGGAAGACACACUUCUCCAUGAACAUCGCCAUCCAGGAAGCGAGCUGUGCCUACAGAGUGCUGGGCCCCGAGGAGGCCUGGCACUGGGAAAUGGAUCAAUCCUUCCUCUUAAGAAACACUUGAGAAGCACAUAGGCAACUAUUUCAUAGGAGAAUGAAUAACAAGAAAGAAAGAAAAAGAAAACACAGAAGGGGUAACAGAGAAACUGACUUCCACAGACCUAGAGGGAAACGGUUGUUUUUUUAACGGAGGUAGAACAGAUUCGGAGCGCCUUCGAAGAAGAAAGAAGAGCCCCUGACCACACACUGUCCAGAGACGUGGAUCAGGAGGAGUGCCCAGGUUAACCGGCAAGACGAGAGUAAUCAGCGAUUCGGUGAUGAGGCAGGGGCAGGAGGGUGGCUGUCCAAUCGCCUACGCGGAAGGACGUGGAGGAUCAUUCUGCAUCAGAGCAGGUCCGUGUUGGGGCAAGAACAGUCCAGAGGGAAACCCCAAGACAAAGUCCCCGAGGCGGGAGCAUCCCUGGCGUGAAUCAGGGAGACAGAGCAGAUCAGAGCGAAGUCGGAGAAGCAGUGGCCUUGAACGAUACUCAUCUGGAGGCUACAGACAUGGUUGUGUGAAGCUGACAGAUAGGAUCAUCUGUUUGAAUGCCUCUGGACACCGUGGGAAGACAAAAAAGAUAACUAUUAAAGAAUAUCAAGAGAUUUUGCUCUUGGAGACAUUCAGUCUGUCUUCCCAAGUAGAUCUGAAGCUCCAAGAGGACAGGAACCUGGGCCUAUAGCCAUGCGUGGUGCCUUGUGGGCACACAAUAAAUGCGUAUGGUUUACCCAGGCCCACAGAGUAAGCCAAUAUGAACUAAUUGAGCCACACAAUGAGAUGAGGAACUAAGAUAACAAUACCACUCGAUGAUGAGUAUUUAAAAGAACACUAAAUACUAAAUACUAAAGAAUACUAAAGAAAGAGUGCCUUGUAAGUAAACCACAAAGCUGCUUUCUUCUAAACGGCCAGCGUUGCUUAUCUACUGUGCCGUGUCUCUUUUCAAUGGAAAUGAUGUACUGAUAACUCAUAGGCGAAUAAUUUCCUUCCAAGAGCCAUAACUGCCCUUGAGGUUGCUAUCACAGGUGCAGGCUGUUUAGACCAGCAAUAAUUCCAGGACUGAAGACGGAGCAGGGAAGAUGCAGCACACGGUGUGUUUACUCCUGCUGUUUAUACAGAAAUAGUUCUUUAAAUGAGCAUCACAUACGAUCUUGUCAUCAUUAUUGAACAACUUCAUAUCCCACCAUCAACAUUGGUUAAAAACAAAAGAAAGAAUGAGUCUCCACCCGCACAGGUGUGCACAGUCCACUCUCGGGCUUGUGGACAGGAAGGAGGAGCAGAGGAUGCUGCUGAUGCUGCCGGAGCCAGGGGUCCUGAAACCACAACCACAUGGCGGCUUCUGUCGUUGGCCUGUUGAUGGCAUCAUAUUUUUGGUCAAAGUAAAGAUGAGGAUUGAGGGAAUUGCUUAGAGACUUCUGGCAAAAUUGGACAUAUUCUCUCAAUUAUUAGAAUAAUGGGCACAGCUUGAAAGAUUCCAAUUGUGGUAAAGAUGGAUGAACUCUUGAAAAAGGAGAUCUCUCACAGAGCCAAUGAUCAUCUCUGCCUUGAGAAUGUGUGUGUGGUCUGGGGGCAUCUCCGAACCACGAUCUUGUGAGGUGGGUUCAGACUGGUGAAGAGCGCAUGGUCAGAGAGCUUGGAUGAGAA